AUUGCAGAUUUUCGUGAAUCAUCAGAAUCUUUAGAACGCACAUUGCGCCCUGUGGUAUUCCACAGGGCAUGCCUGUUUGAGCGUCAUUUCUCCCUCAAACCUCUGGUUUGGCGUUGAGUGAUACUCGGUUUACUUGAAAAACAUGAAAAGCAUAACUAUUAGGUUUUACCAACUCGUUAUACUAAUCUACAAGUUAGACCUCAAAUCAGGGACGACUACCCGCUGAACUUAACCAUAUCAAUAAUCGGAGGAACAACACCACGCAGUAUCAUUCAAACUCUUGAUCUCAAAUCAAGUCAAGACUAACCGCGAUAACUUAAGCAUAUC
This 327-nucleotide unclassified non-coding RNA is filed under the name [Candida] sp. RNAcentral describes it as "Candida sp. (in: Saccharomycetales) sequence contains ITS1, 5.8S rRNA gene, ITS2, 28S rRNA gene". The stretch from base 1 to 86 matches the Rfam family "5.8S ribosomal RNA", at positions 71 to 154 of the family's 154-position model. Lineage: Eukaryota; Fungi; Ascomycota; Saccharomycetes; Saccharomycetales. The record is from RNAcentral.